AUAUUGUCGUACGUCUUCUAAUGUCGUUGCUCGGUGCUCCGUUUUUAUUGGUUUGAAUCAACAGAUUGAUGUGCGAACAUUGUAUUCAAGGCCUUACUUGAAGUACCGACUACGAGGAAAGAUUUUAUUCUUUUCUGGUCUUCAUUGGACCAACUCAUGACAGUCUUUGUGGCCUUAGCUUCUGGUCUGAAUUUCCAUGGUUGGAUCUGGCGUGCCUUGAUCUGGCCACAGUCGUGUUGGAUGAAUAAAGACAAGUUUUUUUUUGUUUUUUUUCAGAAUAAUGAAUAAAGACAAGUGUGUUGAAACUAUUUGCAACCUCAAAAAAACGAGAGCGAUGGAGGCAGGAGAGGAGAUACAGCCCAGGUCUUAGGCCCAAGUCCAUCGAAAGGCAUAUACGGAAAUGGACAAGUCUAUGAUGGACCGGCCCAGUUCUACACGAAGCACAUCAUGGACUACCGAGUUUCAGGCAAAGUUUUCUCUCAAAAAGGAAGUUUCAGGCAAUGUUACGAGUCUAUGACCAGC
RNAcentral lists this long non-coding RNA (522 nucleotides) under Brachypodium distachyon (stiff brome). RNAcentral describes it as "long non-coding RNA (BDIS_LNC005101)". Lineage: Eukaryota; Viridiplantae; Streptophyta; Magnoliopsida; Poales; Poaceae. The record is from RNAcentral.